This 905-nucleotide ribosomal RNA is filed under the name uncultured bacterium. RNAcentral describes it as "partial 16S ribosomal RNA". The record is from RNAcentral.
CCCCGUCAAUUCCUUUGAGUUUCAUUCUUGCGAACGUACUCCCCAGGUGGGAUACUUAUAACUUUCGCUUAGCCACUGAAUCCGAAAACCCAACAGCAAGUAUCCAUCGUUACGGCGUGGACUACCAGGGUAUCUAAUCCUGUUCGCUCCCCACGCUUUCGUCCAUCAGCGUCAGUUGAUGUUUAGUCACCUGCCUUCGCAAUUGGUGUUCUGCGUAAUAUCUAAGCAUUUCACCGCUACACUACACAUUCCAGCAACUUCAACAUCACUCAAGACUAACAGUAUCAAUGGCAGUUUCAUAGUUAAGCUAUGAGAUUUCACCACUGACUGAUUAAUCCGCCUACGGACCCUUUAAACCCAAUAAAUCCGGAUAACGCUUGCACCCUCCGUAUUACCGCGGCUGCUGGCACGGAGUUAGCCGGUGCUUAUUCUUCUGGUACCUUCAGCUACUCACACGUGAGUAGGUUUAUCCCCAGAUAAAAGUAGUUUACAACCCAUAAGGCCGUCAUCCUACACGCGGGAUGGCUGGAUCAGGCUUCCACCCAUUGUCCAAUAUUCCUCACUGCUGCCUCCCGUAGGAGUCUGGUCCGUGUCUCAGUACCAGUGUGGGGGUUCACCCUCUCAGGCCCCCUAAAGAUCAUCGUCUUGGUGAGCCGUUACCUCACCAACUAACUAAUCUUACGCAUGCCUAUCCUACUGCGAUAAAUCUUUCAAAAAUUCAUGAUGCCAUGAUUUCUAUUAUAAAGUAUUAAUCCUCCUUUCGAAGGGCUAUCCUUUUCAGUAGGGCAAGUUGCAUACGCGUUACGCACCCGUGCGCCGGUCUCUAGUUAGCAAGCUAACUAUACCCCUCGGCUUGCAUGUGUUAAGCCUCCCGCUAGCGUUCAUCCUGAGCCAUGAUCAAACUC